CAUUCCUAACAUCUAUGGAUUGCCUCAUAUAUGUCACCACAUCUUCCCACCAGGCUUGCUUUCCCUACACUCCAAGAUGGAGUUCGAACAGGGCAGAGGAAGAACGGCACUUCUGACAUCAGAGGCUCCAGCUGAAAGGUUCCAAAUCUAGGAGCUGGAGUCCAUGACUCACAGGUCUUAUAGUUGAUGCUAGCUUUUGGCUGAAGCCUCAAUUCGUCUUCAGUGGGCCUCUCCCUAUUGGCUAAAAUUUGGGCUUCCUCACAGCAUGGUGGCAAGAUUCUAAGGGCAGGAAUCCAGAGAGAGAAAGGGCCAAGCAGAAGCCAUAUUGUCUUCGAUGACCUGGCCUCAAAAAUCAUGCAAUACCUUUCAUUCAUUGAGGCCGUCACAAAGCUCCACCCAUUCUCAAUGGGAGAGAAAUAAAUACUGACUCUCAAUGGGGAGUGGGAAGGUUCUGGGAGGGCAUAUGGCACCCAGAAUAUGGCUGUAGGCAUUUGUAAAUGGGGUUGUUGACAUUGAGCUUUCAGGAAGAGAAGAUUAAGACACAGAGAUACCAGAGAGGUCGUUCACAGAGGAAAGACCAUGUGAAGACGCAGUGAGAAGGUGGCCAUAUUCAAGCUGAGGAGAGAGACCUCAGAAGAAACCAAUACUGCCAACGCCUUGGUCUUGGACUUCCAGCCUCCAGAACUGUCCUGGAUCAGAAGAUGCCUGACAAGAGGCCACUAUCAGCAGCAACAGCACAGUGGGGACAAACCUGAGACCUUGAUGGACCGUGGACACCAGCAGGAGAGACAGAGGAACUUGAAGUCUAAAUGGGCAGACAAGACCAACAUACACAAAGCAGAGAGUGGCACAAGAGCCAUGUCUGAUGCAACAGUGACUCAGGAGGAUCACUCUGACUCAGAAUGGCCAAGCAAAGAAUUGAAAUUGAGUAACGUUUAACAGAAGGUGUCUGAUUACAACAAUGCCCUGGCUGUGAAGAGAACAAAUUCAGAACUUUCUCCUAAGGAGAGAAGGAGCAAACUGUUACUCUCUUGUCAAAUCCAGUUUUCUUUUAAUCUCUGAUAAUGUUUCACAUUGAACCAAUGCCUUUAAUAUGACUUAGUGCUUUAGGAAAAUAGUAUCACCUCAGGAUAUUUAGGUAACUAAACCAGCAGAUCCAAUAAGUGUUAUCUUUCAGAGUCAGCCUUCUGAAGGAGGCUAGAUGCACAUGUGAAUGACUUUGCCAUAGCACAGAAUGCGUCUGGAUCAUACUUCUGGAAAUUCCUCUGGAACCACUGUGUAAAUGAAGCUAUCAGGAAAUCUCAUUGCUUUGUAAUCAUGCUUUACUUUUGACUAAAAA
RNAcentral lists this long non-coding RNA (1339 nucleotides) under Homo sapiens (human). RNAcentral's name for it is "HSALNT0300885". The record is from RNAcentral. Lineage: Eukaryota; Metazoa; Chordata; Mammalia; Primates; Hominidae.